This 253-nucleotide ribosomal RNA is filed under the name uncultured bacterium. RNAcentral's name for it is "partial 16S ribosomal RNA". It matches the Rfam family "Bacterial small subunit ribosomal RNA", at positions 524 to 776 of the family's 1533-position model. The record is from RNAcentral.
UACAGAGGUCUCAAGCGUUGUUCGGAUUCAUUGGGCGUAAAGAGUGUGUAGGCGGUGUUCUAAGUCUGUUGUGAAAUCUCCCGGCUUAACUGGGAGGGUGCGGCGGAGACUGGAAUGCUAGAGUGUGGGAGAGGUAAGCGGAAUUCCUGGUGUAGCGGUGAAAUGCGUAGAUAUCAGGAGGAACACCUGUGGUGUAGACAGCUUACUGGACCACGACUGACGCUGAGACACGAAAGCGUGGGUAGCAAACAGG